RNAcentral lists this non-coding RNA (212 nucleotides) under Sharpea azabuensis. RNAcentral describes it as "T-box sequence". It matches the Rfam family "T-box leader". From Rfam's summary of the family: Uncharged tRNA acts as the effector for transcription antitermination of genes in the T-box leader family. The record is from RNAcentral. Lineage: Bacteria; Bacillati; Bacillota; Erysipelotrichia; Erysipelotrichales; Coprobacillaceae.
AAAAAAGCUUCGACCAGGAGAGUAGCUUUUAGGAAUUCUUUAGCGAGGUCAUACAGAGUGAAAGGUGACUAGAUGAACUAGGAGUGAAGCGCACCUGUGAGUGUUCCUUUGAACUGAGUAGGAGGAAACGUGAACCUGCGUUAAGGGAUUGAGUUGGUUCAUAUAUUUUAUAUGAGCAACUAGAGUGGUACCGCGUAUAGAACGUCUCUAGA